Molecule: unclassified non-coding RNA, 473 nt
Filed under: Priapulus caudatus
Lineage: Eukaryota; Metazoa; Priapulida; Priapulimorpha; Priapulimorphida; Priapulidae
Description: tetratricopeptide repeat protein 38-like, transcript variant X3
Source: RNAcentral
AGCAAGCUCAGAUGCGCGACUCCAUCGCACGCGUGUAUCCGCACUGGAAUGCAUCCAUUCCCUUAUACGGAUAUCUUCCGGGAAUGUAUGCUUUCGGACUGUGUGAAACCGACCAUUGCGCUGACGCGGAGAAAACAGCAAAGAAGGGCCUGGAGUUGAUUCCUAAGGACGGGUGGGCGACGCAUGCGUUGGCUCACGUCUAUGAGAUUCAAGGAAGGAGCCAGGAAGGCAUCUCGUUCCUGAGCAGAACUCUCGACAACUGGACGACAGCAAGCAGCGUAACUUCUGGCAUUGGGCCGUUUAUCACAUCGAGAGGUAAAUAUGUAAUCGACUGCCUUUAAAAUGAACGAGCCGCCUGUUCGCUAUAAGGAUUAGUCAACAUGUUGAGGGCGAACACACGGCAGCGCUAGAUGUGUUUUACUCUCAGAUUGCGUCGCGGGUAAGAACUAGUGGGGCCAUGUGGGAUGUCGUCG